UGUCAACAAAUUCAUCGCGGAAAGAUCUUAUAGUGCAUUGGAACCUUCCGAUGCUUAUCCAUUUGAUAUCCACAAUUUAGUCCUGCUUAAUCUAUAAGUUGAAGCCUCCAAGUGAAGGAAAUUUACUUGAAGAAUUGCUGGAAAGUACUCUGUUUCUGUUGUCAUCGUUAUCCCAGGAUUUCUCACCGGUUCAUGUUUUAAGUGUUUUA
This 209-nucleotide unclassified non-coding RNA is filed under the name Hevea brasiliensis (rubber tree). Lineage: Eukaryota; Viridiplantae; Streptophyta; Magnoliopsida; Malpighiales; Euphorbiaceae. The record is from RNAcentral.